Molecule: long non-coding RNA, 553 nt
Organism: Hyla sarda
Lineage: Eukaryota; Metazoa; Chordata; Amphibia; Anura; Hylidae
Exons: 3
Source: RefSeq, a predicted model, not a curated record
CAAUUUUACAUCCAAAAAGGGGAUCUUACAGUACAUAAGACUUGUGGGAACUUACCCUUUAUACAUGAACUUUCUUUCACAUUUAAAGGGGUUGUCCCACAGGAUAAUUUUUAUUUAAAGGGAGACUGGAGAAAAAAACUAAACUAAACAAUACUCACCUCCCCCUGAUCCACCACUACUGCUAUUCCAACGUUCAUCAGGUUUUAUCUGGUCACUCAAUAAAUCAAUGGAUGAGGCGGGUAACAGCUGCAGACAUUUCCUGUGUGUCAAGAUAGGACCAGGAAAAGAAGAUCAUCUGGCACCCAGUAACCAAUGGAACAGCAGCAGUGGGGGAUCCAGCGAGGUAAGGGUGAGAAAGAGCAAGGAAAGAAGGUUAUAUUCUGCCACGUAAUACCUGUACCUGUAAUGGCUUGGUCGGACUUUUGGUUCCUGUAUGAGAAAAGACAGAAUACAUCUAAUACUGAAGAUUAAAAAAGAUUCAAAGAUUCAAAAAACAGCUACCAAGAUACACGAGAGACCUUCAGUCCGACAUCUAUUCCUAGGAGCUUUUAAU